This 425-nucleotide ribosomal RNA is filed under the name uncultured bacterium. RNAcentral describes it as "partial 16S ribosomal RNA". It matches the Rfam family "Bacterial small subunit ribosomal RNA", at positions 354 to 796 of the family's 1533-position model. The record is from RNAcentral.
GUGGGGAAUCUUGCGCAAUGGGCGAAAGCCUGACGCAGCCAUGGCGCGUGAAUGAUGAAGGUCUUAGGAUUGUAAAAUUCUUUCACCGGGGACGAUAAUGACGGUACCCGGAGAAGAAGCUCCGGCUAACUUCGUGCCAGCAGCCGCGGUAAUACGAAGGGGGCUAGCGUUGCUCGGAAUUACUGGGCGUAAAGGGCGCGUAGGCGGACAGCUUAGUCAGAGGUGAAAGCCCAGGGCUCAACCUUGGAAUUGCCUUUGAUACUGGCUGUCUUGAGUUUGGGAGAGGUGAGUGGAACUCCGAGUGUAGAGGUGAAAUUCGUAGAUAUUCGGAAGAACACCAGUGGCGAAGGCGACUCACUGGCCCAAUACUGACGCUGAGGCGCGAAAGCGUGGGGAGCAAACAGGAUUAGAUACCCGUGUAGUCC